ACAUAGCCUUCUACUUUGUAAUUACUCGUGUGCAUUCGUCUUUUACUCGUUGGUGAGCUCCUUUAGAACUGAGAACUCAGGAGCUCAUCCGUGAGUGGAGGAAAAACGCCCACAGGUGUCAUUCCAGUGCCCAAGGCUG
Equus caballus (horse) is the source of this 139-nucleotide microRNA precursor. The record is from Ensembl. Lineage: Eukaryota; Metazoa; Chordata; Mammalia; Perissodactyla; Equidae.